Molecule: ribosomal RNA, 334 nt
Filed under: Yarrowia lipolytica
Lineage: Eukaryota; Fungi; Ascomycota; Dipodascomycetes; Dipodascales
Description: eukaryotic LSU rRNA
Rfam family: 5.8S ribosomal RNA (bases 66-214)
Source: RNAcentral
AAAUAAAUGAAUAUCUAUUUCUGUGGAUUUCUAUGUCUAUUACAGCGUCAUUUUAUCUCAAUUAUAACUAUCAACAACGGAUCUCUUGGCUCUCACAUCGAUGAAGAACGCAGCGAACCGCGAUAUUUUUUGUGACUUGCAGAUGUGAAUCAUCAAUCUUUGAACGCACAUUGCGCGGUAUGGCAUUCCGUACCGCACGGAUGGAGGAGCGUGUUCCCUCUGGGAUCGCAUUGCUUUCUUGAAAUGGAUUUUUUAAACUCUCAAUUAUUACGUCAUUUCACCUCCUUCAUCCGAGAUUACCCGCUGAACUUAAGCAUAUCAAAAGUCGGAGGAA